This 252-nucleotide ribosomal RNA is filed under the name uncultured bacterium. RNAcentral describes it as "partial 16S ribosomal RNA". It matches the Rfam family "Bacterial small subunit ribosomal RNA", at positions 524 to 776 of the family's 1533-position model. The record is from RNAcentral.
UACGGGGGGGGCAAGCGUUGUUCGGAAUUACUGGGCGUAAAGGCUCGUAGGCGGCCAACUAAGUCAGACGUGAAAUCCCUCGGCUUAACCGGGGAACUGCGUCUGAUACUGGAUGGCUUGAGGUUGGGAGAGGGAUGCGGAAUUCCAGGUGCAGCGGUGAAAUGCGCAGAGUAUCAGGAGGAACACCGGUGGCGAAGGCGGGUCUCUGGCCGAUACUGACGCUGGAGGAGCGAAAGCGUGGGAGCGAACAGG